GGCCCCGUAGCUCAGCUGGAUAGAGCGGCACCCUCCUAAGGUGAUGGUCAGAGGUUCGAAUCCUCUCGGGGUCGCCA
RNAcentral lists this transfer RNA (77 nucleotides) under Desulfuromonadales bacterium C00003093. Its description in RNAcentral is "tRNA-Arg". It matches the Rfam family "tRNA". Rfam says of the family: Transfer RNA (tRNA) molecules are approximately 80 nucleotides in length. The record is from RNAcentral. RNAcentral also lists the same sequence under 3 other names. Lineage: Bacteria; Pseudomonadati; Thermodesulfobacteriota; Desulfuromonadia; Desulfuromonadales.